Molecule: long non-coding RNA, 1285 nt
Filed under: Marmota monax (woodchuck)
Lineage: Eukaryota; Metazoa; Chordata; Mammalia; Rodentia; Sciuridae
Source: RNAcentral
GCUCAUGCCACUCGGAGCCUCGUGUCUCUUCCACAUAACGAAUCAGGGGUAAGUGUCCAGGAUCGGGGAGGGGCUCCACGGUGGUGAUCAGGGACUUGUUGAUGGACGUCUGGGUGGCUUUCUAUUGCAGGGAGCCUCCUUGUCACUGUGUGGACAGACGCUUCCAUUUCUCCCGGUGAAUUCCUAGGAGCAGAAUGGGUAGGUCAGGCACAGGUGUCUCAGGGCAAUGGAAACUCACUGUUCACAACGCGGGAAGCCGGGAAAUUCAAGAUCAAGGUGCUAGCAGAUCCGGCGUCUGGCAAGGGCUGGUGCCUUCUUGCUGUGUCCUCACAUGGCCGGAGGAGCAAAAGGCUAACCAGCUCCCUUGAGCCUCUUCACAAGGGCGCUAACUCCGUCCAGGAGGCCCCACCCUUGUGAUUAAAACCGUCCCUAAGCACCCCCCUUAGUACUCUCACACGGGCAACCAAGUUUCAGUGCAGAUUCUGUAGGAGACACAACCUCCCAUCCAGAGCAGUAAGAGACGGCCAGACGGUUUUCACAGUGGCUGAGCCGUGGCACUGGGACCAGCUGUGACGGGAGGUGAUUCUGUCAGCCUACACUUGCUAUUUUCAAUCUCAAGUGGUGCCCCUCCUGCUGGGUAUGAAGGGUAACUGGAGGGUUUCCGUUUCCUGUCUCUUGAGGGUUGCUAACGUCUUUUCAAGUGCGAGUUGGCUGUUUGGAUGCAUCUUCUCUUUGGUGAGGUGCCUCUCGUAUCUUCUGCCUGUUUAAGACUGUGGGUCAUUUCAUGUGUAGGAGUGCUUUAUGUGAGGUGAUGCUGGUCCUCCCUCGCAUCCGGACAGGCAUUAAGAUACCGUUCCUGACCCGGGAGAGGCUCUCGGUUCUCUUAAGGGUGUUUUGUGCUCACUAUAAAUUCUCCAUUUUCAUGGCGCCCUGUUUACCGCUUUUUCUUUUAUGCUAAUGCUUUUGCCUCUUGGUCAAGGAAACUCCUCCUGCCGGUGAGGCCUUUUGAACAGCUCAGUCCAUCUCCUCUCCCCCUCUGGCUGCCUCCGCCAGAGCUCCCAGAGGAUGGGGUGGGACAUCUGUGGCCAAGUGAGACCCUAAAGCCUAGAUUACCCCCCCUCCAGGGCAGAUCAGUGUCCCCACCCCCUUCCUUUCCCUGGGAGGAUUUGGGUUUACGUUGGGCUGCAAGAUUAAAGCCCAAGAGAUUAAGAGAUCGCUUCUGCCCAGGGAGGCAGUUCCGCCUUUUCGCUCCUGAUGGGGGUUGGGAUAGGAGUAGAAGGAGGGC